This 466-nucleotide ribosomal RNA is filed under the name uncultured bacterium. Its description in RNAcentral is "bacterial SSU rRNA". It matches the Rfam family "Bacterial small subunit ribosomal RNA", at positions 28 to 492 of the family's 1533-position model. The record is from RNAcentral.
GAUGAACGCUGGCGGCGUGCUUAACACAUGCAAGUCGAACGAAGCACUUUAUUUGAUUUCCUUCGGGACUGAUUAUUUUGUGACUGAGUGGCGGACGGGUGAGUAACGCGUGGGUAACCUGCCUUGUACAGGGGGAUAACAGUUGGAAACGGCUGCUAAUACCGCAUAAGCGCACAGCAUCGCAUGAUGCAGUGUGAAAAACUCCGGUGGUAUAAGAUGGACCCGCGUUGGAUUAGCUAGUUGGUGAGGUAACGGCCCACCAAGGCGACGAUCCAUAGCCGACCUGAGAGGGUGACCGGCCACAUUGGGACUGAGACACGGCCCAAACUCCUACGGGAGGCAGCAGUGGGGAAUAUUGCACAAUGGGCGAAAGCCUGAUGCAGCGACGCCGCGUGAGCGAAGAAGUAUUUCGGUAUGUAAAGCUCUAUCAGCAGGGAAGAUAAUGACGGUACCUGACUAAGAAGCA